GCCUGUAGCUCAGUUGGUUAGAGCGCAGGUUUGAUAAACCUGAGGUCACAGGUUCAAGCCCUGUCAGGCC
RNAcentral lists this transfer RNA (70 nucleotides) under chicken gut metagenome. It matches the Rfam family "tRNA". Rfam says of the family: Transfer RNA (tRNA) molecules are approximately 80 nucleotides in length. Their secondary structure includes four short double-helical elements and three loops (D, anti-codon, and T loops). Further hydrogen bonds mediate the characteristic L-shaped molecular structure. tRNAs have two regions of fundamental functional importance: the anti-codon, which is responsible for specific mRNA codon recognition, and the 3' end, to which the tRNAs corresponding amino acid is attached (by aminoacyl-tRNA synthetases). tRNAs cope with the degeneracy of the genetic code in two manners: having more than one tRNA (with a specific anti-codon) for a particular amino acid; and 'wobble' base-pairing, i.e. permitting non-standard base-pairing at the 3rd anti-codon position. The record is from RNAcentral.